GAUGAACGCUGGCGGCGUGCCUAAUACAUGCAAGUCGAGCGAACGGACGAGAAGCUUGCUUCUCUGAUGUUAGCGGCGGACGGGUGAGUAACACGUGGAUAACCUACCUAUAAGACUGGGAUAACUUCGGGAAACCUGAGCUAAUACCGGAUAAUAUUUUGAACCGCAUGGUUCAAAAGUGAAAGACGGUCUUGCUGUCACUUACAGAUGGAUCCGCGCUGCAUUAGCUAGUUGGUAAGGUAACGGCUUACCAAGGCAACGAUGCAUAGCCGACCUGAGAGGGUGAUCGGCCACACUGGAACUGAGACACGGUCCAGACUCCUACGGGAGGCAGCAGUAGGGAAUCUUCCGCAAUGGGCGAAAGCCUGACGGAGCAACGCCGCGUGAGUGAUGAAGGUCUUCGGAUCGUAAAACUCUGUUAUUAGGGAAGAACAUAUGUGUAAGUAACUGUGCACAUCUUGACGGUACCUAAUCAGAAAGCCACGGCUAACUACGUG
RNAcentral lists this ribosomal RNA (497 nucleotides) under uncultured bacterium. RNAcentral describes it as "partial 16S ribosomal RNA". It matches the Rfam family "Bacterial small subunit ribosomal RNA", at positions 28 to 507 of the family's 1533-position model. The record is from RNAcentral.